CAGUAGCCGCGGUAAUACGUAUGUCGCGAGCGUUAUCCGGAAUUAUUGGGCAUAAAGGGCAUCUAGGCGGCCGGAUAAGUCUGGGGUGAAAACUUGCGGCUCAACCGCAAGCCUGCCCUGGAAACUAUGCGGCUAGAGUACUGGAGAGGUGGACGGAACUGCACGAGUAGAGGUAAAAUUCGUAGAUAUGUGCAGGAAUGCCUAUGAUAAAGAUAGUUCACUGGACGGUAACUGACGCUGAAGUGCGAAAGCUAGGGGAGCAAACAGGAUUAGAUACCCCCGUAGUCCCUGUCUCUUAUAA
This 301-nucleotide ribosomal RNA is filed under the name uncultured bacterium. Its description in RNAcentral is "partial 16S ribosomal RNA". It matches the Rfam family "Bacterial small subunit ribosomal RNA", at positions 509 to 809 of the family's 1533-position model. The record is from RNAcentral.